UCAUGCAUUGAACCAAGCUCCUAACACUUCAAUUCACCAAACUUCUCAACAUUUGUGAAUCACUCAUAACAGUCCCAAGUUAACUCCAAACCACUUCAAACUAAUUCUAAACCACUUCAACUAACUCCAAGCCUCAUUUAACCAAUUUCAAGCCUCAGAAAACUAACUCCUAACGUCCAUUUGAUCCAAACCUAUAACUUAUAUAAACACAUCACUCCCAUAGCCAAAAAAAUAUCAGAACUUGAUCAUCACUCUCAAAUUACUCAUUGCAAGUUCAACUUUUCUCCUCUCACUUCAUCUUCCCCAAUUCUUCUCCCUACACCAAAACUGAAAUCACCAUUGGAGCAAGCUUCACAUUGAAUUUUGUUAUCAAUUGAGCUAAACCUCUUGCAUUCAACAUUAUUCCUACAUUCACAUAAU
This 420-nucleotide long non-coding RNA is filed under the name Lathyrus oleraceus (garden pea). RNAcentral describes it as "Pisum sativum (pea) long non-coding RNA (PSAT_LNC021396)". Lineage: Eukaryota; Viridiplantae; Streptophyta; Magnoliopsida; Fabales; Fabaceae. The record is from RNAcentral.